GGCAAUAUGGCCGAGUGGUCUAAGGCGCCAGAAUCAGGAUCCGCAGAUUCAUCUGGUCCUCCGGGGCGAGGGUUCGAAUCCCUCUGUUGUCA
Molecule: non-coding RNA, 92 nt
Organism: Infundibulicybe gibba
Lineage: Eukaryota; Fungi; Basidiomycota; Agaricomycetes; Agaricales; Omphalinaceae
Source: the annotation of a GenBank genome assembly